This 582-nucleotide ribosomal RNA is filed under the name Meyerozyma guilliermondii. RNAcentral describes it as "partial large subunit ribosomal RNA". It matches the Rfam family "Eukaryotic large subunit ribosomal RNA", at positions 69 to 664 of the family's 3401-position model. The record is from RNAcentral. Lineage: Eukaryota; Fungi; Ascomycota; Pichiomycetes; Serinales; Debaryomycetaceae.
AGGGGAUUGCCUUAGUAGCGGCGAGUGAAGCGGCAAAAGCUCAAAUUUGAAAUCUGGCGCCUUCGGUGUCCGAGUUGUAAUUUGAAGAUUGUAACCUUGGGGUUGGCUCUUGUCUAUGUUUCUUGGAACAGGACGUCACAGAGGGUGAGAAUCCCGUGCGAUGAGAUGCCCAAUUCUAUGUAAGGUGCUUUCGAAGAGUCGAGUUGUUUGGGAAUGCAGCUCUAAGUGGGUGGUAAAUUCCAUCUAAAGCUAAAUAUUGGCGAGAGACCGAUAGCGAACAAGUACAGUGAUGGAAAGAUGAAAAGAACUUUGAAAAGAGAGUGAAAAAGUACGUGAAAUUGUUGAAAGGGAAGGGUUUGAGAUCAGACUCGAUAUUUUGUGAGCCUUGCCUUCGUGGCGGGGUGACCCGCAGCUUAUCGGGCCAGCAUCGGUUUGGGCGGUAGGAUAAUGGCGUAGGAAUGUGACUUUACUUCGGUGAAGUGUUAUAGCCUGCGUUGAUGCUGCCUGCCUAGACCGAGGACUGCGAUUUUAUCAAGGAUGCUGGCAUAAUGAUCCCAAACCGCCCGUCUUGAAAAAAAAAAA